CUCUCAAUGAAUGCAAUAACCUUGCAGAAAGGUGGUGACAGGGCCAAGCUGCAGAACAGACCAAUCCGUAUGUCUCUGAAAUUGCUAGCUUCCUGUCUUGAAGGAUUUUUAUCAUGGUUCAGUUUAUCAUGGACAUGUACAAAAUCUUUUGUAAAAUUCUGGGCAUUGAAGAGCAACUGACAAGACAAAAGUGUCCCCAAAAAUAACAAACGUACAUAUACUCACUCUGAAAAGGCUUGCAUUUUCCAGUUAACAUUUUGACCACAGCAAAAAUCCCAGUAAAUGCAUGUAGCAAUUAAGCACAUGACUACAAGAGUACUAAAGGUACUCUGAACCCCAACAUGUUCAGAACAAUUGUAAAAGUGCUUCUGUUUUUCCCAGGCUAGACACCAUUGGGCACCCUGACCAACCUAAUCUCCAGUGACCAGGUGACCCUCCUGGUCAGUGAGAGAAAGUCUGUUGACGUAGUCUGCCUUGACUUCAGCAAAGCCUUUGACUCUGCCUCCCACAGUAUUCUCCCAGAGAAGUUGGCAGCCCAUGGCUUGGACAGGUACACUCUUUGCUGGGUAAAGAACUGAUUGGAGAGCCAGGCCCAGAGUAUGGUGGUGAAUGGAGUUACAACCAGCUGUGAACAGUCACGAGCACUGGUGCCCAGGUAAGUGGUAGUGUUGCUGUCCUGGAGGUGUUAAGAAAAAUGGAGAUGUUGCACUUAUGGAUGUGGUUUAGCAUGCAUGAUGGGUUCAUGGUUUGAUUUGAUGAUCUUAUUGUUUUCUUCAAACUUAAUGAGUCUUUGAUUCUGUGGUUUAAGGGCUGGAAUAAAUGCUUGUACAAACUACUCAAUGGGCUAUUUUGUGACCCUUUCUAGUACAUGGAUAUACUGUCCAUUCAAUACUUUGGUUGUUCAUUUCAGCAUAGUUCUGAAAUAUCUAAGCAGGACUGGAUUUCAGGGAGAGGUAAUUUUUAUUACUAUUUCAUUAUUAUAGAGCAGCAGAUAUAGCUGGAAACACCAAUGUCAUGGUUUUGUAACUUCGCUAUUGGUAUUCCACAUCAUAACAUCAUGGACAAAAGAGAAGAACUACGUAUCCCAGAGGACCUCACGGUCAGAGAAGGAAGACACAUCACGGAAGAUACGUCAUCUGGUUGCGCGCAGUUUUUUCUUCACUUUCGCUUGCUGCCGGGAGAGGAGUGGGUGUGCUUUCCAAGCCGGGCGCCUUCAUCAAGGAAUACAGCAUUCAGAGGCACAUCUUUUGUUGCAUCCAGCUAGCGUGCAGCUCUGUGCCCCUGACAGCCACUGCAGUAGCUGGCAGACAGCCCAGUGCUAUGAUUGCAGCAAAACACGAGGUAGCACCAUCCUGAGAGCAGUGCCUUAAGGCUGACUGGGCUGACCUUUAAAAAUGGAAAGCAGAACACAGCAAAAACAUGCUUUUGAGCUGCAAGCACACAGUGUAUUUCCACUGCUCCACCACCAGAAUUGGAAGGACUUUACUGAAAUAACACCUACUAGUUCGGAGAUGCCGUCCUCUCUGACACUUACUGUCUUAAAUGUCCCUGAUUUCAUAAACCAGUUGAUUGUUAAGUAUUGGUUUCAGUGAACAGAAAUCUGAAUCACCAUGCCAUAGGCCCAUCAUGUCAAAAUCAUCCUCACUGUCUUUAAAGUAGUUAUAGCAUUUCACACACAAGAUUUGUAGAGCGAGAGAAUGUGCUCAUUAGACCAAAGUGAUAAAUGGUGGGAAAAGCAGGCUCAAGCAACACAGGCUGUCUUCAAAUCUUUCCAGACACCAGAGAACUAAAAAUGAAAGUAUUUCUGGGUAGUUUAUGUUUCUCUGGCAAGCUAGACCACUUUCUUUGCUAUUACCUAAUUUUACUUCUUAAUGGAGAUGUUGUACUUGUCUGGAGAAAAUGCAAGCCAAAACUGCAGCUGCCAGUAAAAGUGGAUAGGAGAAGCUGAUAUCUCACUCCAAAGCCUUUUCUUCCCACUUCAGUAACUGCUACUACAGCACAAGCUAUCAGGAUUGGGAAGUUCAAGUGAUAGACUAUGGAAAUUGAUGGGGAAGAUGUAGACGAUGAUGAAGAAGAUGAUAGGGCAUAUGUAAGACAGGAUAGCAAUAGCCCAUUGUAAAUUUACGUACGGUCUCUUGAACAAUAAAGAAGAUGAGCUUGAAUAGAAGUUAUUAUUUUAGGUAACUUUAGUUGUUCAUGAUUUUCUGCUCGGCUGCUCUUACUAUUAAAUUACAGCAAUUUAGGUAUGUACAUUUGCUUAUAUAUGCACAUUGUAACUAACACAAACACUGCUUCAAACUUAUCCACAGGACUUCUGUAAGAUAAAGAAAGAAAGGAAGAAAAAAACGUGAAAAAUAUAUUCAAAAGGCGUUAUUGAAAAAGGGUAUUUGUGAAUACACUCCUACACUCGCUUGGAUUAAUGUUACACUUUAUUAUUGUCAGUGGCUUGUAUAACCCACUCCUUAUAAGAUUUCAAAGGCAUAAUCGAAACUAAACCUGUGCCUGAAAUCACUGCAAGCUGGUAAAAUGAGAUUUUUGUUUAUGUGCUCUCAGACAAACGUCAUUAUUCUAUGAAAACUUCUAUAUACGACGUUACUCCAAAGUUAAAAAAUAUAUAUAAAUACAUAAAUUUAAACCUUGUUUCUUAGAAGAAUUUUGUCUAACUUUGUACAA
Molecule: long non-coding RNA, 2673 nt
Organism: Gallus gallus (chicken)
Lineage: Eukaryota; Metazoa; Chordata; Aves; Galliformes; Phasianidae
Source: Ensembl